This 529-nucleotide ribosomal RNA is filed under the name Colotis amata. RNAcentral's name for it is "partial 16S ribosomal RNA". The stretch from base 395 to 529 matches the Rfam family "Bacterial large subunit ribosomal RNA", at positions 2473 to 2608 of the family's 2925-position model. The record is from RNAcentral. Lineage: Eukaryota; Metazoa; Arthropoda; Insecta; Lepidoptera; Pieridae.
AAAACAUGUCUUUUUGAGAAUAAUUUAAAGUCAAAUCUGCCCACUGAAUUAAUUUUAAAGGGCUGCAGUAUAUUGACUGUACAAAGGUAGCAUAAUCAUUAGUCUUUUAAUUGAAGACUUGUAUGAAUGAUUUGAUGAGAUAUGAACUGUCUCUUUAUUAAAAAUAAAAUUUAAUUUUUUAGUUAAAAAGCUAAAAUUUAUAUAAAAGACGAGAAGACCCUAUAGAGUUUAAUAUUUUUAAAAAAUUAAAUUUUAUAUAAAUUUUUAAAUUUAAUUUUUUAAAAAUAUUUUGUUGGGGUGAUAGAAAAAUUUAAUAAACUUUUUUUAAAAAUUAUACAUUGAUUUAUGAAUUUUUGAUCCAUAAUUUAUGAUUAUAAGAAUAAAUUACCUUAGGGAUAACAGCGUAAUUUUUUUUUUUAGUUCAAAUAAAAAUUAAAGUUUGCGACCUCGAUGUUGGAUUAAGAUAAAAUUUAAAUGCAAAAGUUUAAAAUUUUGAUCUGUUCGAUCAUUAAAAUCUUACAUGAUCUGA